RNAcentral lists this ribosomal RNA (468 nucleotides) under uncultured bacterium. Its description in RNAcentral is "partial 16S ribosomal RNA". It matches the Rfam family "Bacterial small subunit ribosomal RNA", at positions 28 to 507 of the family's 1533-position model. The record is from RNAcentral.
GACGAACGCUGGCGGCGUGCUUAACACAUGCAAGUCGAACGGAAAGGCCCUGCUUUUGUGGGGUGCUCGAGUGGCGAACGGGUGAGUAACACGUGAGUAACCUGCCCUUGACUUUGGGAUAACUUCAGGAAACUGGGGCUAAUACCGGAUAGGAGCUCCUGCUGCAUGGUGGGGGUUGGAAAGUUUCGGCGGUUGGGGAUGGACUCGCGGCUUAUCAGCUUGUUGGUGGGGUAGUGGCUUACCAAGGCUUUGACGGGUAGCCGGCCUGUGAGGGUGACCGGCCACAUUGGGGCUGAGAUACGGCCCAGACUCCUACGGGAGGCAGCAGUGGGGAAUAUUGCACAAUGGGCGGAAGCCUGAUGCAGCAACGCCGCGUGCGGGAUGACGGCCUUCGGGUUGUAAACCGCUUUCGCCUGUGACGAAGCGUGAGUGACGGUAAUGGGUAAAGAAGCACCGGCUAACUACGUG